UGAUAUUUUAAAAACAGCUCCCAUGUAGACACCAUGGGAAAAAUCACAACUUUGUUGGACUUCCUUAGAAAGAUUUUGCAGCAUAGUAUGGUUUCUGUUUUAAAGUCUGUAUCUGAGGGAUGAGGGUAGGAAGGGGAGAGCUGCUGUAUAAGGCAGUGCCUUGUGACAUGGUGUCCCGAUGGAAGGCACCAUUUUAAAAGCGAUUGGAGACAGGUUAAACAACUUGCCCUCAAUCAACGGUUGGGAAGUGAAAGAACCAAGCUUCAAAUCCAGGUCUGUCUGGGUCUUGAGCCAAGCUCGAAGUCUGUGUCACAUUGCCCAGGACUCGGCUGCCAAUUCUCCCCACCUCCUCGUCCCUCACUGCUGCAUCAGCAAAUCCAGGGCUCAUGGCAGGAAGAGCAGAGAAGAGCAAAGAGGUGAAGCUUUCAUGGUGUGAAGGGAAGGACGGAACUGGUGAGGUCCUGGUGUUACUCAUUCUGAGCUCCAGGGGCUGCUUCAUAUCACAACUUGAUGAAAACUCCUCGAAGUCACAUCUAUCCAUCCUUGCCUGGCACAGAGGAGAUGCUUCAUUUGGAUGUGUUGCUGGAGGGGAGAGGUGCAAGCAGUAUGCCAUGGGCACUCAGAGGUCAAGCCUAUCCAGCAAGAAGCCAAGUGGAGAGUUGAGCAAUUAUCUGAAGUGGGCAGUGAGACGGCCAAAACCAGAUAAUACUUAACCAGAAAGUCAUCGUGGAGGGAAAAAGUGGACUGAAAAUAGAAGGGAUGGGGUAAAAUGUCAAACAAUUUGGUCAGUGUCCACAGUCCAAAUUCACUGGAUAACAGCCAAUUCCUUGCUUCAUGUAAUUAUUUAGAAUGAGUCUAAAAGACUGAGGUUUUAAAAAAAGAAGAUGAAUUUGUUACCAAGGUUGUUGCAUGUUUGUGCAAAACUUUUUCAUAUCCGUAGGACUAUCUGUGACAUGUCUAAUUCUGAAUAUUUCCAGGAUAUUUUAGAUUGGUGGGUCAAGGUUGUUGAGGAAGCCCAUAUUAUCUGUAGACUUACAUGGAGAAAAACUUUCUUUUAUGGAUUAUUUGAGUGUUAUAUUUAAUUCGCCUUUCUCCCCCCAUAGCAUAUUGCUUAGGAAUUUUCCAUUGAAAACUCCUGGUUCUCUGUUACUUUAUCAUUUCCUCAUGUGGCAAUUUCAGUAUCCCCUUGAUUUUAGUAGAACCUAUCAAUGAAGUAUAUAAGUCUACUAGAAUGGGAUUUGCAUUACUUUUGGUUAAAAAAAAACCCCACCAAAGUCUCAGAUCAAUGUGGUGUUUUUUUCCCUUCUAUUUGGUAUAAAAACCAUAAACUAAUUACUCUGAACAGAUGUUUCCUAGACCUAAAAUAUAGUUAUCAGCCCACUGGCCUCUAUAAAUCCGUCGCUGUAUACCUGGUAAUCCUGAAGACUCCUUAGUGCCAUGUUAAACCUUCCAUUUGUUGAUUUUUUAUUGAGAAAAAGUUCAUAAAUUAGGUUCACUGCUGCUUGGAAUUAAGAAGAAAACACAGCCAUGUUAGUAUUUCAGAUGGGAAAACCAAAGUUAAACAAGUAUUUUUUUUUCACUCUAUCAUGUCUUGAACAUUUGAAGCCAUUACAUAGCAUCUUAGAAACAAAAAAAAAUAACCCAGGGCUACUUUUUUCAGUAGCUUUGGCUGAUGUUUGAAAUCCACAGUGAAAAUUGCCCAUGGAAUAUUCUGGAAGGACUCCAAGGGAGUCUAUUGGAAUAUCUUACAAUAAAGUAAAAAUUCAAGAAGAAUUUUACAUGCAAGUAAGGAUUAAGAAAUUUGUUUUAUAAGUCACGGGAUAAAGGUAUGUAUUAAGUGACAUUGCUAAAUUCUUCCCUUGUGCUGUACAGUGACUGCUUUCCCCAUCAUAUGGUCAUGUCUGAAUCUCUGUGGGAAACCCAUCCCACACAGCCACAGCAGGUGUAACUCUUCUGCCGAAUACUUGAUUGGACAUACUGUGGGCCAGGACCUUUUGCUCUAAUGGUAAAAUUGACCUACAGAAAUGGAAGUCAUUCUAUGGACCUGAGUUGAUAGAAUGGAUGGUGCAUUCUGCAUAAAUGCUUGCUAAUGGUGUCAGUGGUAAAUGGUUUAUGCCCUACUUUGCUUUGUAAAAGACUAUGAUCAUGGAAUUUGAGCUGAAUAGACAAGCAAAAGAUUGAUUCUUCAGUGUCUACUGAUAAGUAAGCCUGUUUUAUCUUCAACCAUCUUGUUUCAUUUAAGUGAGGAAUCAAACCAGCUUUAAUUAAGGAAAUCUUUAGAAAUCACCCAUGCCAUCUUUUUACUCCCUGUUAAAAACAAAACAAAGAAGAAAACUAGAAAGACUUCAGCACAAAAACAUCUGCAUGUUGUCCAGGACCGUAGGACCGAAUCUUAGCACAACUCUUUUUGAGGAAGGAUACAGAUAUUAACCUGAAUUUUGAAUCACGGCUGAGGGAUGUGUGAACAAGUUAGUUUCCUCUUUUCUCCCUCCUGACUUCUUCCAUGAAUACGUAAGACCUAAUUUGGCCAUUCAGUUUGGAGAAUGAUUUUUUUCAUUUAAUUUCUUUGAUUAUCAAGCGUUGUAUUGCUAGGG
RNAcentral lists this long non-coding RNA (2594 nucleotides) under Equus asinus (donkey). RNAcentral's name for it is "lncRNA (ENSEASG00005035732.1)". Lineage: Eukaryota; Metazoa; Chordata; Mammalia; Perissodactyla; Equidae. The record is from RNAcentral.